CCGGCUUACCAACCCGAUGCAAACUGCGAAUACCGGAGAAUGUUAUCACGGGAGACACACGGCGGGUGCUAACGUCCGUCGUGAAGAGGGAAACAACCCAGACCGCCAGCUAAGGUCCCAAAGUCAUGGUUAAGUGGGAAACGAUGUGGGAAGGCCCAGACAGCCAGGAUGUUGGCUUAGAAGCAGCCAUCAUUUAAAGAAAGCGUAAUAGCUCACUGGUCGAGUCGGCCUGCGCGGAAGAUGUAACGGGGCUAAACCAUGCACCGAAGCUGCGGCAGCGACACUGUGUGUUGUUGGGUAGGGGAGCGUUCUGUAAGCCUGUGAAGGUGUGUCGUGAGGCAUGCUGGAGGUAUCA
Molecule: ribosomal RNA, 355 nt
Filed under: Salmonella enterica
Lineage: Bacteria; Pseudomonadati; Pseudomonadota; Gammaproteobacteria; Enterobacterales; Enterobacteriaceae
Description: partial 23S ribosomal RNA
Rfam family: Bacterial large subunit ribosomal RNA
Source: RNAcentral